GACGAACGCUGGCGGCGUGCUUAACACAUGCAAGUCGAACGGAAAGGCCCGGCUUUUGUGGGGUGCUCGAGUGGCGAACGGGUGAGUAACACGUGAGUAACCUGCCCUUGACUUUGGGAUAACUUCAGGAAACUGGGGCUAAUACCGGAUAGGAGCUCCUGCUGCAUGGGGGGGGUUGGAAAGUUUCGGCGGUGGUGGAUGGUCUCGCGGGUUAUCAGCUGGUUGGGGGGGUAGUGGCGUACCAAGGCUUUGACGGGUAGGCGGCCUGAGAGGGUGACCAGCCUCCUUGCGCCUACGGUACGGACCAGUCGGCUACCGGCGGCAACGGGGGGGAAUCUUGCGCAAUAGGCCGGCGCCUGAUACGGCGACCCCGCGUGCGUGAUACCCGGCUUCGGGUUGUGAACCGAUUUCUACUUUACCGAACCCAUCUUGACGGUAAUUGGUCAGAAAGCCACGGCUAACUACGUG
This 468-nucleotide ribosomal RNA is filed under the name uncultured bacterium. Its description in RNAcentral is "partial 16S ribosomal RNA". It matches the Rfam family "Bacterial small subunit ribosomal RNA", at positions 28 to 507 of the family's 1533-position model. The record is from RNAcentral.